Molecule: long non-coding RNA, 128 nt
Organism: Thalassophryne amazonica
Lineage: Eukaryota; Metazoa; Chordata; Actinopteri; Batrachoidiformes; Batrachoididae
Exons: 3
Source: RefSeq, a predicted model, not a curated record
UUAUAAUAUAUAUAUUAUAAUGGAUUGGUAAAACAGUUGCAGUUUCAUUCCUUCUUCUGGGUUUGAUAAUCUAUCUGUAAAAUUAUGUUUAUUAUAGAUGUAACAUCUCGCCAUAAUCGUUCAAAUGC